CUUUUUGAUCUUUUUUCCCUUCUCCUUGGGGUCAAAGAAGCAAUGCAUAUUUGUGAUUCAAGCUUCCAUUAUUACUGGACUUUUCUCUUUUCUUCUUUAUGUCUUUGUAUAAGCUGAUCUGUUUUCCCUUGAACUCAUCAGUUUAAAACUUUAAUAAUUUUUAAACUAAAUUCAGCAAUGAUUGCCAACACAUACUAAUACCCUACUGGCUUUCCAACUACUUCACCUAGAGUUCCAGGCUUGAUGGAUGUGAAAUCUUCCUCCCAGGUUAUUGCGUGUGUUGCAGUUACCUAACAGGAGUCACCAUUUUCCUGGCCUCUAACAUCAGUUUCCUAGCUACUCGUCAUGUGGUUUCUAAGUCAAUGCCCUCAUUUUGGUUUUCAUUAUGAUAAUACUCCAUUUCAAGGAAUCAACUUCCACACCAAGAUGACAGAUGCUGCCUGUUGUAACAAAACUCCCUAUUUCUCAGUGGUUUAGCAUAUUAAGAGUUUGGUCCUCUCCCAUGAUUGGCAGGGGGAGGGGAGAUACAGGACUGUGCUCUAGGUGGUUAAGCAGGAACUCAAGAACUUCAUUCUUUGUCACUGCCAUAUUCAACAUGUGGCUUCCAAGCUCACUGCUGAAGGAGGAGAGAAGACCCAUCGUCUCAGACUGCAGUUUUUUGUCUGUUGUCAGAAGGCUGUACUGACUUUGCUGGACCAUGUGAAGGAGUGUGUACUUAUCUUCAUCCCAGAUCUCAUCUGGAUGAAAACUAUGAUGAUGAACUCAGGUAAAAUUCUGUUUAUUCUAACAUGGCCUUGAGAAAUGAUCACCUGGAGUCAGAAAAUAAAGGACCAACACAAAGGAUUGUGAAAAUUGGAGCACUGAUAGAUGUCCAACCUCCAUCAUUAGACAGAAGAUAAUGUUUAGGUUUUAAUAACUUUAAUCUCUCCC
Molecule: long non-coding RNA, 930 nt
Filed under: Ovis aries (sheep)
Lineage: Eukaryota; Metazoa; Chordata; Mammalia; Artiodactyla; Bovidae
Description: lncRNA (ENSOARG00000026159.1)
Source: RNAcentral